Long non-coding RNA from Ictalurus punctatus (channel catfish), 1063 nucleotides. Lineage: Eukaryota; Metazoa; Chordata; Actinopteri; Siluriformes; Ictaluridae. The record is from Ensembl.
GUAAAUAACACUUAAUAUUUGGUUGCAAAAACUGCAUCAUAACUGCAACUGCCGGAAACCCCCUGAUAUCACCAAACUGUUCAGUCUUUUGUGAUGUUUUUUCAGGCUUGUACCACAGCUUUGUUUCAGUUUUUUAUUUAAAAUUUUUUUUUUUAUUAAACUUUUGCUCACCUAAAGAUUUGGUGGUCGUUUUUGCAGGCUGAUGAGAUGAUGAGGAGCAGAUGCGUUUGCUGAUUCAAACAGGAGGGGGAGCAGAGUGGAGUGCCAUGCCCAGGGAGACACACAAACACACUCAAACAGGAGGAGAGGGAGAGACAAACACGGGAGCCUGCAGAUGACCUGCCAGGCUUGUCAGGAUGGGCCUGAUGGAAAUCCUGGAUGAGAAAGGGGUCCAGGAGGGGUCCAGGGGUCCAGGAACGGGGCACCCAAGUCUGCUCCUCCGGUCCAUGCCCUGUCUGGGGUGGGUUGGGUGCGUUGGGUCUCCUUGACCACUGCCUCAAUGUCUCACAUAACUGUUCCUACCAUGCAGGAAUAAGGGAAGAUGUCAUGGCUCGUGGGGGCCUCUUCAGAGACAAAUUGGUGAGAGAGGGCAUAGGGCUUGACCUUCCUGGAUCUGGGGUGGUACGUGAUGGUGAAGUUGAAGUGACCAAAGAAUAGAGCCCAGCAUGCUUGACAUGAGUUCAGUGGUUAGUCCACAUGAUGGACUUAUGGUUAGUCCACACGAUGAAUGGCCCCCUUGGAGCCAGUAUCUCCAUUUCUCCAGAGCCAGCUUGACUGCAAGCAACUCAUGGUUCCCCACAUCGUAGUUGCUUUCAGCUGAGAACAGGUGGCGAGAGAAGACAGGACCCUUUUUCAUUUACACCAAUUUGCCAAUCUUCCAUUUGGGUUUUUCAGAGCCACAGCUACAUCUCAAUGUCCAAAUGACUGUGUGCUACAGCCCCACUGUGCAUAUGCCACUAUGGAUUUAGAUGACAUAAUAAUCCACAAUAUGAUUGCCAGUGGCAUCUGCAGCAUCUGAGGGCAGUUCUAAAAUUCUUUGACAUGAGCCAGCCUCACAACAAAC